This 185-nucleotide unclassified non-coding RNA is filed under the name uncultured Dothideales. Its description in RNAcentral is "sequence contains ITS1". The record is from RNAcentral. Lineage: Eukaryota; Fungi; Ascomycota; Dothideomycetes; Dothideales.
AAAGAAUUGGAGUGACUAACCGUCCUCCGACUUCCAACCCUCUGUUGUUAUAACUACCUUGUUGCUUUGGCGGGACCGUUCGGUCCUCCGAGCGCACCAGUCUUCGGACAGGUGAGCGCCCGCCAGAGUCCAACCAAACUCUUGUUUUUAACCAGUCGUCUGAGUAUAAAAUUUUAAUUAAAUUA